AUUCAGCAAAUGUUUAUCAUGUACCUACAA
This 30-nucleotide non-coding RNA is filed under the name Mus musculus (house mouse). The record is from RNAcentral. Lineage: Eukaryota; Metazoa; Chordata; Mammalia; Rodentia; Muridae.